GGCACAGAACAUUUCAAGGGGGGUGGCUAGAGGUGCGAGGGAGGCCAGCGGACAACAUCAGAUGGCAGGAACAGCGCGCACCAGUACAGUUCAUGCUGGGGCGGCGCACGUGGGGCACUCAGCCGGGCAGAACCAUUAGCGGGUGGUCAUGGCGAAGCCUCCCUGAACCAGCAGAGCCACUGACCAGAAGCCUCCAGCCUGCAGCGGAAAAGAGCGGCAGCCGCCAGGAUCAGGCACAGCAUGGCGGCCAGACAACGACAACAGGCGCAGGCACCCAAAAGGAACAACCGCACAUAGCCAAAUAUACCUACUGCCAACUGCAGGAGAAAUUUUAGAAGACAGUUUUGUAUUAUUUUGAGUAUCCACUUAAACAUUUUUCUAACACUGAAUUAAAAGAUAGAAGGGUUCAAUUAAAAUGAGUAAAAAAACCUAGAACACCGCACCAGAUGCGGCAGGAGGCUGGGAGCCAUGCAUAGGCUUGCGAGCAAGGAGCCACCGAGAGGAACACGGAGGGCGCGACGCAGCGCCCAGGUGUCGCAGGCAAUGGAGACACAGCACCCUCCGCGCAUGCAUAGCUGUCUCAAGCACGUGACAGGCCGGCACAGAAUGUGUCAUUCGGCACAUGCCCCGAGCUCGCCUACAGGCAUCGGCUGCUCAAGGCUAGUAUAGAAGUUCCAAAGAGUUACUCUCAAGCCAAC
This 698-nucleotide long non-coding RNA is filed under the name Androctonus crassicauda. The record is from RNAcentral. Lineage: Eukaryota; Metazoa; Arthropoda; Arachnida; Scorpiones; Buthidae.